UACGUAGGGGGCAAGCGUUGUCCGGAAUCAUUGGGCGUAAAGCGCGUGUAGGCGGCCCGAUAAGUCCGCUGUGAAAGUCGAGGGCUCAACCCUCGAAUGCCGGUGGAUACUGUCGGGCUUGAGUACAGGAGAGGCGAGUGGAAUUCCUGGUGUAGCGGUGAAAUGCGCAGAUAUCAGGAGGAACACCGAUUGCGAAGGCAGCUCGCUGGAACGUUACUGACGCUGAGACGCGAAAGCGUGGGGAGCAAACAGG
This 253-nucleotide ribosomal RNA is filed under the name uncultured bacterium. RNAcentral describes it as "partial 16S ribosomal RNA". It matches the Rfam family "Bacterial small subunit ribosomal RNA", at positions 524 to 776 of the family's 1533-position model. The record is from RNAcentral.